CAGCAGCCGCGGUAAUACGUAGGUGGCAAGCGUUGUCCGGAAUUAUUGGGCGUAAAGGGCUCGCAGGCGGUUUCUUAAGUCUGAUGUGAAAGCCCCCGGCUCAACCGGGGAGGGUCAUUGGAAACUGGGAAACUUGAGUGCAGAAGAGGAGAGUGGAAUUCCACGUGUAGCGGUGAAAUGCGUAGAGAUGUGGAGGAACACCAGUGGCGAAGGCGACUCUCUGGUCUGUAACUGACGCUGAGGAGCGAAAGCGUGGGGAGCGAACAGGAUUAGAUACCCGCGUAGUCCCUGUCUCUUAUCA
Molecule: ribosomal RNA, 301 nt
Filed under: uncultured bacterium
Lineage: Bacteria
Description: partial 16S ribosomal RNA
Rfam family: Bacterial small subunit ribosomal RNA
Source: RNAcentral